Molecule: transfer RNA, 104 nt
Organism: Rhizoctonia solani AG-1 IA
Lineage: Eukaryota; Fungi; Basidiomycota; Agaricomycetes; Cantharellales; Ceratobasidiaceae
Rfam family: tRNA
About the family: Transfer RNA (tRNA) molecules are approximately 80 nucleotides in length. Their secondary structure includes four short double-helical elements and three loops (D, anti-codon, and T loops).
Source: Rfam
GCCCUUAUGGCUCAGUGGUAGAGCGCAUCACUAGUACUGAGUUGAUUAAAUAUUUAGCUCAUUAUGUGAUGAUGAGGUCCUAGGUUCGAUCCCUGGUGAGGGCA